This is a non-coding RNA of Papio anubis (olive baboon), 50 nucleotides long. Lineage: Eukaryota; Metazoa; Chordata; Mammalia; Primates; Cercopithecidae. The record is from Rfam.
UCAAAGGCUUUAUCUCUAUAAAGCCACCAAUUAACUAUUUGUAAAUUUUU